GACGAACGCUGGCGGCGUGCUUAACACAUGCAAGUCGAGCGGUAAGGCCCUUCGGGGUACACGAGUGGCGAACGGGUGAGUAACACGUGGGUGAUCUGCCCUGCACUUCGGGAUAAGCCUGGGAAACUGGGUCUAAUACCGGAUAGGACUCCGGACUGCAUGGUCUGGGGUGGAAAGCUUUUGCGGUGUGGGAUGGGCCCGCGGCCUAUCAGCUUGUUGGUGGGGUGAUGGCCUACCAAGGCGACGACGGGUAGCCGGCCUGAGAGGGUGACCGGCCACACUGGGCCUGAGAGACGGCCCAGACUCCUACGGGGGGCAGCAGGGGGGAAUAUUGCACAAUGGGCGCAAGCCUGAUGCAGCGACGCCGCGUGAGGGAUGACGGCCUUCGGGUUGUAAACCUCUUUCAGCAUCGACGAAGCGAAAGUGACGGUAGGUGCAGAAGAAGGACCGGCCAACUACGUGCCAGCAGCCGCCGUAA
Molecule: ribosomal RNA, 478 nt
Filed under: uncultured bacterium
Lineage: Bacteria
Description: partial 16S ribosomal RNA
Rfam family: Bacterial small subunit ribosomal RNA
Source: RNAcentral